Regulatory RNA element from Acetohalobium arabaticum DSM 5501, 94 nucleotides. It matches the Rfam family "PyrR binding site". Rfam says of the family: This family represents the PyrR binding site and terminator structure. This RNA structure is found upstream of a variety of genes involved in pyrimidine biosynthesis and transport. The record is from Rfam. Lineage: Bacteria; Bacillati; Bacillota; Clostridia; Halanaerobiales; Halobacteroidaceae.
GGCUCCUUUAAAUUAGCCCUGUGAGGCUAGUAAGGAGAAUUAUAGAUUGGAUUUAAACCUUCUUACUCUCCUCAGGGAAAAGAAGGUUUUUUGU